Eucalyptus grandis is the source of this 605-nucleotide long non-coding RNA. RefSeq lists it as uncharacterized. The transcript has 2 exons. The record is from RefSeq and is a predicted model, not a curated record. Lineage: Eukaryota; Viridiplantae; Streptophyta; Magnoliopsida; Myrtales; Myrtaceae.
CUUGCUUUCUAGUUCCGGGGAAAGAAGUUGUUUUGUCUGCGGUUCCGUGUGGUGUUGAUGAUUCUGAGACGUGGGUUGUGAUCAAAAACCGAAAUUUCUUCGCAGGGCGAGCGGGGUGUGCAGGAAAUGGAAGCGUGGGGUGAAGUUGUCGCUGGGGCGGAGGGAGAGGCUCAGCUUCGCGGGGCUGAAGAUGGAUGACGAUUCCACCGCCCGCGUCGUUCGCCACGCAUACGCCCUCCGUGAACUCGACAUUUCGAAGAUUUGUUGGGGCUGCCAUAUUACCGGUGAAGGGCUGUACAGAAUUUCACUGACAAAAUGCGCGGCGAAGCUUACGUCCAUCUCUCUGUUGGGGAUGACAAGGGUCACUAACCAAGGUGUUGUUAAGCUGGUAUGUUUGUCAUUUCGAAGUGAUGGUUCGCUUCUGCAGAUGUUAUGUGUGUAGGCUUUAGUCUUGUUCUGUGGUUGGAGCGAUUUCUGGGUGUUGAUGGUCGUUUCUUCAUUCAGAGUUCUGAUGCUAGUGUUCCUCAGUGAUAGUGUCGGCAUUGCUUAUUAGUCAUAUUGUGCAAUCUGAUAAAAAUCAGUGCAAGAACUUGAAAUUGUCAAUA